AUGAAAACCCUAGCAACAAAAAUCACUUUUCCCUUCUUCAAAACCUAGCAGCCGAAAACACUUCAGCCUCUCUCUCCAUCUUGUUUUCUUCUAGCUUAGAAACCCUAGCAGUUGCCCCUCAUCUUCUCCUCCUCCAAGCUUUGUAUUGCAGCAGCCUCCUUCUUUUCUUCCUCCUUUCUUCUUCAAGCUACAGCGGUAGCUUCAAUGGCCGACCCUACUGUUCUUCUUGUUGCCCUUCAAAUCUGCAACACACAUACAAAACCGAGAGAGAAAAUAGUAGCAACAAAGAUCUAAAAUGAUCUUUGUUGGUUAUAGAAGAGAAAAGCCGAAAAACACAACAGAAAAAUAAAGAAGAACACUAAAGAGUUGAUUUCAGAGUUCCCCUUAAAUCAAGGGUACAUCUCCGUCAAGCUUCCCUCAAAGACGCUUGAAUCUCCACUAUGAAUGUCAAAACCGGUUACAAGUUUAUUGAGAUUCCAUGCUACAAAUCAGUAGGUUGUUUACAAAAGAAAAACUGCUGCCUUAUAUUUCUCUACAGGAGCCGAACACACCUUGUGAAAGUGGGAAGGUUGAACCUCUAUUUAUAUUGUUGUUGCUGGUUGUUGUUGUGUUUGUUUCUUAGCUGAGAAAUAGUUAUAAUCUGUUGUUGAUAUUUUUCUUGUAAAGCUGAAAGUUUGUUAGAGUCUUGAGAUAUUCAUUUACUUCUUUAUAUUGUAAAGAAAUAAAAGAUCUAGGCCUAUGAAAACAGAACCGACAACUCUAUGAGUUAUAAUGGUCUGUUGAGGCUUGUAAAAGAUCUUAUUUUAUUUUUCCU
Cannabis sativa is the source of this 814-nucleotide long non-coding RNA. RefSeq lists it as uncharacterized. The record is from RefSeq and is a predicted model, not a curated record. Lineage: Eukaryota; Viridiplantae; Streptophyta; Magnoliopsida; Rosales; Cannabaceae. The transcript is spliced from 2 exons.